AGUGAACGCUGGCGGUAUGCCUAAUACAUGCAAGUCGAACGGACGCACAGUAAGAGCUUGCUCUUACGGGUGGCGAGUGGCUGACGGGUGAGGAAUACAUCGGAAUCUACUUUUUCGUGGGGGAUAACGUAGGGAAACUUACGCUAAUAUCGCAUACGACCUACGGGUGAAAGCAGGGGAUCUUCGGACCUUGCGCGAUUGAAUGCGCCGAUGUCGGAUUAGCUAGUUGGUGGGGUAAAGGCCCACCAAGGCGACGAUCCGUAGCUGGUCUGAGAGGGUGAGCGGCCACACUGGAACUGAGACACGGUCCAGACUCCUACGGGAGGCAGCAGUGGGGAAUAUUGGACAAUGGGCGCAAGCCUGAUGCAGCCAUACCGCGUGGGUGAGGAAGGCCUUCGGGUGGUAAAGCCCUUUUGUUGGGAAAGAAAAGCAGCAGAUUAAUACCCCGCUGUUCUGACGGUACCCAAAGAGUAAGCACCGGCUAACUUCGUG
RNAcentral lists this ribosomal RNA (492 nucleotides) under uncultured bacterium. RNAcentral's name for it is "partial 16S ribosomal RNA". It matches the Rfam family "Bacterial small subunit ribosomal RNA", at positions 29 to 507 of the family's 1533-position model. The record is from RNAcentral.